Asparagus officinalis (garden asparagus) is the source of this 384-nucleotide long non-coding RNA. RefSeq lists it as uncharacterized. The transcript has 2 exons. NCBI's taxonomy places the organism in Eukaryota, Viridiplantae, Streptophyta, Magnoliopsida, Asparagales, Asparagaceae. The record is from RefSeq and is a predicted model, not a curated record.
AUUUAGUAACAGUACAGCUGAAGGAAAUAUAGGAAGCCUAAUAGCAUAUUCUUUUUUUAAUUGAUCGAUAGCAAAAAGGAUAAGUUGGCAUCUUGCUGCUGAGAUUUGCAGUAUGGUCAGAGGAAUCCUUGAAGCAAACCACUGCUGGGUCAUCCACCAAUACAGGAAGGAUGGAGCAUUGUGUGCGAUCCACAACACACGCUGAUCUUCUACCAGUUUUUUCCGGUAUGCUUCUCUUGAUAAAUUGGCUGGUAAAGAGGGCCACCACAAGUUGAUGGGAGGUCCUAUAAGCGCUGCUCCUUCCAAUCUGCAUCAAUGUAACCUAUGUAUACUGUUUAUUUCAUACAAUUUAAUGAAAUUUUGUCAGAUUCAGUUUUUUUUUGC